CACACAGGAAUACGCUACUACCCGUCGC
This 28-nucleotide small RNA is filed under the name Bombyx mori (domestic silkworm). RNAcentral's name for it is "ovarian small RNA-12896". The record is from RNAcentral. Lineage: Eukaryota; Metazoa; Arthropoda; Insecta; Lepidoptera; Bombycidae.